AUUGAACGCUGGCGGUAUGCUUAAGACAUGCAAGUCGUACGGGGGCCUUCGGGCUCCAGUGGCGGACGGGUGAGUAACACGUGGGAAUCUGCCUGUUAGUGGGGGACAGCCCAGCGAAAGCUGGAUUAAUACCGCAUACGCCCUACGGGGAAGGCAGCAAUGCGCUAACAGAUGAGCCCGCGUAAGAUUAGCUUGUUGGUGGGGUAAAGGCCCACCAAGGCGACGAUCUUUAGCUGGUCUGAGAGGAUGGCCAGCCACAUCGGGACUGAGACACGGCCCGGACUCCUACGGGAGGCAGCAGUCGGGAAUAUUGGACAAUGGGCCGCAAGCCUGAUCCAGCAAUACCGCGUGUGUG
Molecule: ribosomal RNA, 355 nt
Filed under: uncultured bacterium
Lineage: Bacteria
Description: bacterial SSU rRNA
Rfam family: Bacterial small subunit ribosomal RNA
Source: RNAcentral